RNAcentral lists this ribosomal RNA (427 nucleotides) under uncultured bacterium. RNAcentral's name for it is "bacterial SSU rRNA". It matches the Rfam family "Bacterial small subunit ribosomal RNA", at positions 355 to 774 of the family's 1533-position model. The record is from RNAcentral.
UGGGGAAUUUUGGACAAUGGACGCAAGUCUGAUCCAGCCAUGCCGCGUGCGGGAAGAAGGCCUUCGGGUUGUAAACCGCUUUUGUCAGGGAAGAAACGAGUUUCUCUAAUACAGAGACUUAAUGACGGUACCUGAAGAAUAAGCACCGGCUAACUACGUGCCAGCAGCCGCGGUAAUACGUAGGGUGCGAGCGUUAAUCGGAAUUACUGAGCGUAAGGCGUGCGCAGGCGGUUAUAUAAGACAGAUGUGAAAUCCCCGGGCUCGACCUGGGAACUGCAUUUGUGACUGUAUAGCUAGAGUACGGCAGAGGGGGAUGGAAUUCCGCGUGUAGCAGUGAAAUGCGUAGAUAUGCGGAGGAACACCGAUGGCGAAGGCAAUCCCCUGGACCUGUACUGACGCUCAUGCACGAAAGCGUGGGGAGCAAACA